RNAcentral lists this ribosomal RNA (466 nucleotides) under uncultured bacterium. Its description in RNAcentral is "partial 16S ribosomal RNA". It matches the Rfam family "Bacterial small subunit ribosomal RNA", at positions 338 to 795 of the family's 1533-position model. The record is from RNAcentral.
CCUACGGGUGGCAGCAGUGGGGAAUCUUCCGCAAUGGGCGAAAGCCUGACGGAGCAACGCCGCGUGAUCGAAUGAAGGCCUUCGGGUUGUAAAGAUCUGUUGACAGGGACGAAUAAGCAAUGCGAAUAGUUUUGUGUAUGACGGUACCUGUUUAGAAAGCUCCGGCUAACUACGUGCCAGCAGCCGCGGUCAUACGUAGGAUCCGAGCAUUAUCCGGAGUGACUGGGUGUAAAGAGUUGCGUAGGUGGCAUAAUAAGUAGCUAGUGAAAUCUGGUGGCUCAACCAUUCAGACUAUUAGCUAAACUGUUAAGCUCGAGACCGUUAGGGGUAACUGGAAUUUCUAGUGUAGGAGUGAAAUCCGUAGAUAUUAGAAGGAACACCAAUAGCGUAGGCAGGUUGCUGGGACGGUUCUGACACUAAGGCACGAAAGCGUAGGGAGCAAACGGGAUUAGAUACCCGUGUAGUC